RNAcentral lists this ribosomal RNA (834 nucleotides) under uncultured bacterium. RNAcentral describes it as "bacterial SSU rRNA". It matches the Rfam family "Bacterial small subunit ribosomal RNA", at positions 51 to 878 of the family's 1533-position model. The record is from RNAcentral.
ACACAUGCAAGUCGAGGGGCAGCAUGAACUUAGCUUGCUAAGUUUGAUGGCGACCGGCGCACGGGUGAGUAACACGUAUCCAACCUGCCGAUGACUCGGGGAUAGCCUUUCGAAAGAAAGAUUAAUACCCGAUGGCAUAGUUCUUCCGCAUGGUAGAACUAUUAAAGAAUUUCGGUCAUCGAUGGGGAUGCGUUCCAUUAGGUUGUUGGCGGGGUAACGGCCCACCAAGCCUUCGAUGGAUAGGGGUUCUGAGAGGAAGGUCCCCCACAUUGGAACUGAGACACGGUCCAAACUCCUACGGGAGGCAGCAGUGAGGAAUAUUGGUCAAUGGACGAGAGUCUGAACCAGCCAAGUAGCGUGAAGGAUGACUGCCCUAUGGGUUGUAAACUUCUUUUAUACGGGAAUAAAGUGAGGCGCGUGUGCCUUUUUGUAUGUACCGUAUGAAUAAGGAUCGGCUAACUCCGUGCCAGCAGCCGCGGUAAUACGGAGGAUCCGAGCGUUAUCCGGAUUUAUUGGGUUUAAAGGGAGCGUAGGCGGACGCUUAAGUCAGUUGUGAAAGUUUGCGGCUCAACCGUAAAAUUGCAGUUGAUACUGGGUGUCUUGAGUACAGUAGAGGCAGGCGGAAUUCGUGGUGUAGCGGUGAAAUGCUUAGAUAUCACGAAGAACUCCGAUUGCGAAGGCAGCCUGCUGGACUGUAACUGACGCUGAUGCUCGAAAGUGUGGGUAUCAAACAGGAUUAGAUACCCUGGUAGUCCACACAGUAAACGAUGAAUACUCGCUGUUUGCGAUAUACAGUAAGCGGCCAAGCGAAAGCGUUAAGUAUUCCACCUGGGG